RNAcentral lists this transfer RNA (84 nucleotides) under Chelonia mydas (Green sea turtle). It matches the Rfam family "tRNA". Rfam says of the family: Transfer RNA (tRNA) molecules are approximately 80 nucleotides in length. Lineage: Eukaryota; Metazoa; Chordata; Testudines; Cheloniidae. The record is from Rfam by way of RNAcentral.
CCUAGAAUGGCUGAGUCAUUAAGGUGUGGGACUUAAACUCCUGUGGAUGUGUGCCCCAUGUGGGUUUGAGUCCCACUUUUAGUA